AGUAACGCGUGAGGAACCUGCCUUCCAGAGGGGGACAACAGUUGGAAACGACUGCUAAUACCGCAUGACACAUGACCGUGGCAUCACGGACAUGUCAAAGAUUUAUCGCUGGAAGAUGGCCUCGCGUCUGACUAGCUGGUAGGCGGGGUAACGGCCCACCUAGGCGACGAUCAGUAGCCGGACUGAGAGGUUGACCGGCCACAUUGGGACUGAGAUACGGCCCAGACUCCUACGGAAGGCAGCAG
This 245-nucleotide ribosomal RNA is filed under the name uncultured bacterium. RNAcentral describes it as "partial 16S ribosomal RNA". It matches the Rfam family "Bacterial small subunit ribosomal RNA", at positions 109 to 354 of the family's 1533-position model. The record is from RNAcentral.